AGGUUGGCUCAAACGUCGUGGUUUAACUGGUUUGUAUAGUUUGUGUACGGGUCGGGCCCAGUGGGCCAGUGGCAGAGUCGCGCAUGUACACACUGAGACAGCGAGACAGAGAGGGGAUGCGGAGGUAAAGUGGUGGCAAGAUCGCUAUUUCGAAAAAGGAAGGAGCACGGAGCUUCUGCAGUAAGAGCCAAACCCCAAGUCCAAGAACAACCCGCAGAGGUCUUGCUGACAAUGGUGAUACCCGGUUGAAGAAUUUUGCACCGGAUUUGGAGAUUCAUGAGGUUUUGCACCAACAUUCUGUCGAUUUUGAUGAAAAUGGGGAUGCCCAGUUGGAUAGUUUUGCGUCUGGGGAUGUGGUUUCGGGAACUCGGGGGAAUCGUGUGAUGCUAAGUGGGAUAGUUUAACUGCCGGGAAGGGAAAUGGUGAUGCUCGGAUUGAAGCUAUUGGUUUUGGGGAUGGAGAGGGGAGGGUUAUGAGAUUAAUGUGGAAGAGUUGGAGAAUCUGUUGUCUCUUUUACAAAGUAGUGUUGAUGGGUCUUCGGAGUCGAGUCUUGAUGACAUGAGUUUGACCCGAAAUAAGGAAUUUGUGGUGAAAGUGCUUGGAAUGCCACUUGUUUCGGGCCAGAAUGUGAUUAGAUUUUCCAACUGGGGUAUGAAGGAGAACCCGAAUUUCAGGCAACACGAGCUCAAAAUAAGUUUAUUCUCACUUUGAAUGAGUUUAGUCUACCAACAAAAAAAAUAAUGUCGAUGAUGAAUAAAAAAUCAGAUAGUGACUUUAAUAUUGGUUGCAUUGGUAAGGAUGUGGAAAAUUUUUUAAGAAACAAAAGAAAAAAAUUAUUUGCAGCGGGAGAUGCACAAAGGCUAUAUGCUUAUUUUUUCGAUAGACAAUGUAAAGAACUUGGAUUUGUGUAUUCUAUGCAAGUUGAUAAGAAUGGAUGUAUAGAAAGUUGUUUUUGGACAGAUGCAAGGUCAAGAGCUGCAUAUCAAUACUUUGGGGAUAUUGUAACUUUUGAUACCACGUAUUUGACGAACAUCUAUAAUAUGCCAUUUGUGUCAUUUUCUGGAAUUAACCAUCAUCACCAAAUCAUAAUGUUUGGUUGUGCCUUAUUGGUUAAUGAAACAGUAGAAUCUUAUAUAUGGUUAUUGAGAACAUGGCAAGAAGUAAUGUUUGGGAAGGCUCCUAAAACUUUAAUUACUGAUGACAACAAGGUGAUGGCAAAGGCUAUUGCAGAGGUACUCCCAAAUACAGCUCAUAGGUUGUGUUUAUGGCAUAUUUUACAAAAGUGUUCAGAACAUUUAGCCCAUAUAUAUAACAAAUUUCCAGACUUUCAAAAAAAUUUUCGUCAUUGUAUCUAUGAGACAAUCACGAUUGAUGAGUUUGAGGAAGAAUGGACUUCAAUAUUGGUCAAGUAUGUGUUAGUAGAUAACACUUGGCUGCAAAAUCUUUACCGUCGACGGGAUAUGUGGGUUCCAGCUUACUUGCGAAGAACAUUUUGUGCUGGUAUGUCAACAACUCAAAAGAAUGAAAGCAUGAACAAAUUUUUUAAGAAUUAUGCUUGUUCAAGUACUAUGUUGAGUGACUUUGUGCAUCAAUAUGAGAAAUCCUUAGAUGCAUGUUAUUUUAAAGAGAAAAAAAAAGAUAUGCGAACAAAAUCUACACGGGCAAUAUUGAAAACAUGUUACAAAAUUGAAGAAGAGGCGGUCUUAGUCUAUACAAGAAAAUCUUUUAUGAUUUUUCAAUAUGAGCUUUUCAAUAGUCAACGAUACAAGUCAACCAAAUUUCAAAAGGAUGGUGAAAGCAAGACAUAUGGAGUGACACUUCAUGGUGAAGAAACCCCUAUAUAUUAUGUGACAUUGGAGAGUGGACAAGAGAAGACAACAUGCACAUGCCACAUGUAUGAGUUUAUGGAAAUUAUUUGUAGGCAUAUUCUAUGUGUCUUUGGCAAGAAAUCCAAAUUAGAUAUGCUACCACAACAUUAUAUUCUAAAGAGAUGGACAGUCAAUGCUAAAAAUCGAGUCAUUCUCGAAAUACCAAUUUCUGAAGCACAUGUAACGACAUAGGAUGAUCCUACUAUGAGGAAAAGCAAGUCAAUGAUGCAAUUUUAUGAGAUUUUAGAACUUGGGUCACAGUCAAUACAAAAAUUCAACUACCUCUCUCAUGCCUUAGACAAGAUCCAUAAGGAGUUACUUUUAACUAAAGAUACUCAAGAAAACAGUUUAGAAAGUGGAGAUAUGUCAACCAAUAAUUCUGCAAUGUUAAAAAGUCAGGUUGUAUUAAAUUUUUCACAAACAAUACAGGAUCCUCCACGGGUGCCAACAAAAGGACGAUCAAAAUCUUUGCAGACAAAGAAUCCAAAAAAGACUCAACCAGCAAAGAAAAGACAUUGUAGUAUUUGUAAGAACGAGGGACAUGCUAAGAAUAAUUGUCCUUUAGUGAGGACAUGAUUGUUGGAGUUAGAUGGUAAAGCUUUUGCAUUCUGGAUGAGUUUUGGCUUAUGUUACAGUGCAUAAAGAAGGAUGCAUUGCUCGUCAACUUAUUUUGUGAUGCAUUCUGGAUGAGUUUUGGCUUAUGUUACAGUGAAUAAAGAAGGAUAUAUUGCUCGUCAACUUAUUUUGUGAUAUUGUGGAGCAGGUUGUAUUGCUCAUCAACUUAUUUUGUGAUAUUGUGGAGUGAAUGAGAUUUUAUAUGACUUAAUUGGUGAUUUUAUGGAACUUGUUAUUUUUAUGGAGUGAAUUCAAUUUUAUACUUUUUAGGUUGUGUAGUGAAUGAGAUUUUAUGGAACUUAUUUGAUUUUAUAGAACCUAUGAUUUCAUUUUGUGGAGUGGAUGAGAUUGUAUGUCUUUUAUGCUA
Molecule: RNA transcript, 2850 nt
Organism: Carya illinoinensis
Lineage: Eukaryota; Viridiplantae; Streptophyta; Magnoliopsida; Fagales; Juglandaceae
Gene name: protein FAR1-RELATED SEQUENCE 5-like
Exons: 3
Source: RefSeq, a predicted model, not a curated record